AUCUCGGACGUGGUGGGGGAAGAGGGAAGAGAGGAGGAGGAGGCAGGGAGAGAGGAGGAGGAAAGAAGGGUGGAGGAUGUAGAAGGGAGGCGGUGGAUGUGAUGACGGAGAGGAGGGAGACGGGAGUUGAGGGUGCCACGGACGAAGCGGCGGCCUGAGCUUUUGCUCUCCUGUGAGAAAGAAAAUAGAUGACAUAAAUACAUGAGACGAUACAUUUGGGGUUGAAGGAUUGAACGAAUGAGAG
This is a long non-coding RNA of Etheostoma spectabile (orangethroat darter), 244 nucleotides long. RefSeq lists it as uncharacterized. NCBI's taxonomy places the organism in Eukaryota, Metazoa, Chordata, Actinopteri, Perciformes, Percidae. The transcript is spliced from 2 exons. The record is from RefSeq and is a predicted model, not a curated record.